Molecule: ribosomal RNA, 253 nt
Filed under: uncultured microorganism
Description: partial 16S ribosomal RNA
Rfam family: Bacterial small subunit ribosomal RNA
Source: RNAcentral
UACGUAGGGUGCGAGCGUUAAUCGGAAUUACUGGGCGUAAAGGGUGCGCAGGCGGCUGUGUAAGACCGGUGUGAAAUCCCCGGGCUCAACCUGGGAAUUGCGCUUGUGACUGGCGGGCUCGAGUACGGUAGAGGGGGGUGGAAUUCCUGGUGUAGCAGUGAAAUGCGUAGAGAUCAGGAGGAACACCGAUGGCGAAGGCAGCCCCCUGGGCCUGUACUGACGCUCAUGCACGAAAGCGUGGGGAGCAAACAGG